Molecule: ribosomal RNA, 1707 nt
Filed under: Salmonella enterica subsp. enterica
Lineage: Bacteria; Pseudomonadati; Pseudomonadota; Gammaproteobacteria; Enterobacterales; Enterobacteriaceae
Description: bacterial LSU rRNA
Rfam family: Bacterial large subunit ribosomal RNA
Source: RNAcentral
GAAGGUGGCCUGUGAGGGUUGCUGGAGGUAUCAGAAGUGCGAAUGCUGACAUAAGUAACGAUAAAGCGGGUGAAAAGCCCGCUCGCCGGAAGACCAAGGGUUCCUGUCCAACGUUAAUCGGGGCAGGGUGAGUCGACCCCUAAGGCGAGGCCGAAAGGCGUAGUCGAUGGGAAACGGGUUAAUAUUCCCGUACUUGGUGUUACUGCGAAGGGGGGACGGAGAAGGCUAUGUUGGCCGGGCGACGGUUGUCCCGGUUUAAGCGUGUAGGUGUGUGUUCCAGGUAAAUCCGGUUCACUUUAACACUGAGGCGUGAUGACGAGGCACUACGGUGCUGAAGCAACAAAUGCCCUGCUUCCAGGAAAAGCCUCUAAGCAUCAGGUAACAUCAAAUCGUACCCCAAACCGACACAGGUGGUCAGGUAGAGAAUACCAAGGCGCUUGAGAGAACUCGGGUGAAGGAACUAGGCAAAAUGGUGCCGUAACUUCGGGAGAAGGCACGCUGACACGUAGGUGAAGUGAUUUACUCACGGAGCUGAAGUCAGUCGAAGAUACCAGCUGGCUGCAACUGUUUAUUAAAAACACAGCACUGUGCAAACACGAAAGUGGACGUAUACGGUGUGACGCCUGCCCGGUGCCGGAAGGUUAAUUGAUGGGGUCAGCGCAAGCGAAGCUCCUGAUCGAAGCCCCGGUAAACGGCGGCCGUAACUAUAACGGUCCUAAGGUAGCGAAAUUCCUUGUCGGGUAAGUUCCGACCUGCACGAAUGGCGUAAUGAUGGCCAGGCUGUCUCCACCCGAGACUCAGUGAAAUUGAACUCGCUGUGAAGAUGCAGUGUACCCGCGGCAAGACGGAAAGACCCCGUGAACCUUUACUAUAGCUUGACACUGAACAUUGAGCCUUGAUGUGUAGGAUAGGUGGGAGGCUUUGAAGUGUGGACGCCAGUCUGCAUGGAGCCGACCUUGAAAUACCACCCUUUAAUGUUUGAUGUUCUAACGUGGACCCGUGAUCCGGGUUGCGGACAGUGUCUGGUGGGUAGUUUGACUGGGGCGGUCUCCUCCUAAAGAGUAACGGAGGAGCACGAAGGUUGGCUAAUCCUGGUCGGACAUCAGGAGGUUAGUGCAAUGGCAUAAGCCAGCUUGACUGCGAGCGUGACGGCGCGAGCAGGUGCGAAAGCAGGUCAUAGUGAUCCGGUGGUUCUGAAUGGAAGGGCCAUCGCUCAACGGAUAAAAGGUACUCCGGGGAUAACAGGCUGAUACCGCCCAAGAGUUCAUAUCGACGGCGGUGUUUGGCACCUCGAUGUCGGCUCAUCACAUCCUGGGGCUGAAGUAGGUCCCAAGGGUAUGGCUGUUCGCCAUUUAAAGUGGUACGCGAGCUGGGUUUAGAACGUCGUGAGACAGUUCGGUCCCUAUCUGCCGUGGGCGCUGGAGAACUGAGGGGGGCUGCUCCUAGUACGAGAGGACCGGAGUGGACGCAUCACUGGUGUUCGGGUUGUCAUGCCAAUGGCACUGCCCGGUAGCUAAAUGCGGAAGAGAUAAGUGCUGAAAGCAUCUAAGCACGAAACUUGCCCCGAGAUGAGUUCUCCCUGAGACUUUAGGUCUCCUGAAGGAACGUUGAAGACGACGACGUUGAUAGGCCGGGUGUGUAAGCGCAGCGAUGCGUUGAGCUAACCGGUACUAAUGAACCGUGAGGCUUAACCUUACAACGCCGAAG